AAUGGGUCAGCGACUUAUAUUCUGUAGCAAGGUUAACCGAAUAGGGGAGCCGAAGGGAAACCGAGUCUUAACUGGGCGUUAAGUUGCAGGGUAUAGACCCGAAACCCGGUGAUCUAGCCAUGGGCAGGUUGAAGGUUGGGUAACACUAACUGGAGGACCGAACCGACUAAUGUUGAAAAAUUAGCGGAUGACUUGUGGCUGGGGGUGAAAGGCCAAUCAAACCGGGAGAUAGCUGGUUCUCCCCGAAAGCUAUUUAGGUAGCGCCUCGUGAAUUCAUCUCCGGGGGUAGAGCAC
RNAcentral lists this ribosomal RNA (294 nucleotides) under Escherichia coli. RNAcentral's name for it is "partial 23S ribosomal RNA". It matches the Rfam family "Bacterial large subunit ribosomal RNA", at positions 614 to 910 of the family's 2925-position model. Lineage: Bacteria; Pseudomonadati; Pseudomonadota; Gammaproteobacteria; Enterobacterales; Enterobacteriaceae. The record is from RNAcentral.